UUGAACUUUGUGUUUAUAGCCCAUAGACAUAUAUAGUUUUUUCGUAUCUUUGAUACUAAACAAGUACUAUACAGAAUCUUCGAUGAAAAUUAACCACUUGAUCAUCGAUGAAGGAUUUUAUUACAAAUGGAAAAAAUUGAAGACCACAUCCUAAUUAGGCUAUACUAAGCAGUACAUAUAUGCAUGCCCCCGCAUCAUGUGGUUUGCUAACUUCACUAGCUCAGGGGAGAGGUGGCGGUGGGGAUGGAGGUAGCGGUAGAUUUCUUGGUGCCUGUCGAGUCCCUCCCCUUGGUGACGGUGGUGGACGUGUCCGCUUGGCCUUGUUUGACACCACUUCAAAUCUACUCACGGAAAGGUCGGAAAACCCUUCAGCAGCCUUAACCAUGUAACUAGGGUACUUGGAUAGUAGUAAUCCAAAAACCAACAGGACAGUUGUCGAACUUGGAGCGGCAUCCAUUUUUGUCAUAGUACAUUCACGGCUUCGAUCACCACAAUAUGAUUAUAUGAGUUUGGUACAGAAUUUAUAGCCAAACGUUCUCUCAUCUUCUACGUAAACUUCCACAACACCUACCACACAAUCUAACUACACCACAUUUUUUCUCGAUUGAAAUCCACUUGUAUCAGAAGCAACAAGAUAUAGGUCCAAAGUCAAGAGUCAAGACAGAAAACAAAGUCUACGUCCUCUAGUCCUUUACAAAUAAUUUUAAGCAAAAUAAUAUAGUUUAUGCAUGAACGCUGAUUAAUUGACCAGAUACGAAGAUAAUAUCAUGGUUCUGGUGAUGACUGAACCGGAGAAGGGGGCAGUGGAGGUGGUGGCUAUAUUGGUCGUGGCGGUGGUGAUUUGAGAUGAACUGGAGCACUGGGUUUCGGUGGUGGUGGUGGUGAUCUACUGCUAACCCUAUAAGACACCACUUUUAGCUUAUGGAUGGAAUGGCUGGAGAAACCUUCAGAUGCCUUGACAAUGUAACAAGAGUGCGACAGUAGUAGUCCACAAAUCAGCAAGAAACUUAUCAAACUUGAAUUGGCUUGCUAUUUUUGUGGAUUAGAACCUUAAUAACAAUCUUAGUUUUGGAGGGGGAGCUAGCUAGGGGGAGGAACGAAUUGAUCGAUCUAAUAAUCUUAGUCUGUUUUUAUAACCAAUAUUAUUGAAGAUCGAUCAUCAUGGAAUCGGUGAGAGAGGGAUGAAGACUUUGACAAUGUCUAUAUUUUGCACCAAGUACCAUCUUCUUUGUAGAUUUUUGAUCAACUAAUUAAAGAAAUUGUUGCUAAUGCUUCUUAUUGUGUAUAGAAUCAAACGUUCUUUGUCUAUUGGUAUUCAUUCAAUGUAAACCGAAAGAGUCGAAAGAGGUGUGGAUUGUAAAGACAUAAAUCAUUCAAUCUGAACACGAAAGACCACAAUGGUUGUCGAUUAACAACCCAGAUAGAUUAAUUACUCUCUUCUGAAUCAUAUCAAAGAAAAUUUCACAUAUAUUCAUCAAAUUUAAUAGUAUAUAUCUGAAAUCUUCAGACUUCAGCAUAAAAUUGAUAAUUUCUCGUUGAACUCAUGAACUGUAUAAGAAACUUAAAUGAGAAGUACAAUAUCCGAUCAAGCAUAUAGAGAUGCAAUGUGGGAUUUAUUUAAUUAAACCAUACAUAACACAUCCUGAUCAAUCGAACCAGAGAUGAGAUAUGAUACUGCAUAUAUCUAAUGUCGUAUAAAAACAUAAUCAUGUGGUGGCUACGCUGGUGGUGGCGUCUGUGGUGGUGGUGGAGAGGGGUGAACUGUAGGAUUGGGUUUCGGAGGCGGCGGUGGAGACCUGCGGCUGACCCUGUGGGAUUCCACUCUUAAAUCAAUGGAUGCAAGUGUUCGACACUGUGCCACUCAAUCCAGCUAUAUGGACAAGCAAGUCGAUUUGAUUGCAUUAUAAUGUCUAGGGAAGGUGCAGCGCGCAUCAAUAAAGAUAUCGAUGAUGAUAAUAUAUGCCUCCGAUCCAUCGGCUUCAGGACCUUCACAGAUUCAUAUAUUGAUAGAUAAAAAUCCAUAGUUCAAGGCUAGCUGCAUUAAACGUAUAUAAAAAGGUUUCACAGAUUGACUGUGAAAAAGGUAUAGGAAUAAUCAUAAGAUUCAGAACGAGCUAAAAUGAUACAUAUCGUAGUAAAAAGUGAAAUAUCUAUAAUACAAGGAAUUCGAUCGAAACACGUCUUGAACUCUUGAUUCAAUAUAUGACCAAGUAGCAAAUAAGGGCGCAUGAUGUGGAUACACCAUAUAUAACCAGAUACUAUAUAUAAACGUACAUCGAUCCUUUUGUUCAUUCACGUUAUGGAGGUGGUGGGAUUGACAUAGAUGUUAGCGGUGGUGUUCAUGGAGACGAUGGAAAUGGCGGCGGUUGUGUUAAAGAUAAUAGAGACGGCAAUUGAGGCAGCCAGCGGUGGAGACAGCAAUGGUGGUGGUGGUGGUGGUGACGGCAAUGCUGGUAGUGGUGGUGGUGGAGACACGAACGGUGGCGGUGGUCGAAGUGAAUAAUGGAGUGGAAAUGUCCGUGGAUGGACAGAUGGAGGUGGCGGGGGAGAUCUUGCCCUAAGAGGUAGCCUGUUUGGUAUUAACUAAUUAAAGCAGAGAAGCAGUCUCAAUGGCUUGUGCCCUAAAACUCGAUCCUGGUAAUCCCAGAAUCAUCACCCUUAAGUUGAGGACUAGUUUAGAACUUUUUGGUUUAUGAUUAAAAAGACAUAUUUUUCGAUCACAUGGGCAUCUCAUCUGUUCAGUUUCUAGGUCUAUAUGUGUAGAUCAGCCUUACAAAUUUUUAGCCAAAUAGGUGAUCAUUAAGGUAACAAACUAGAUCAAAUUAAUGAACGAACCAAAUCUGUCAAACAUGAACUGUUCACGUUCAUAAUUGAUAAAUCACACGUAUAAAUGUCUUAACGAUUUUCAAUAUGGCUGAAAAUUUACAGAAAUGAUCUACUCAUAAAUACCUAUAAACUAAACGGUCAAGAUGUGGAUAUAAAAUCGAAAAAUGGGAUAAGACGAAAAGUCCUCAACUUAAGAGUCCUCGUUAGAAGAGCUUCUCUGUACAAAAUCAUUGAAACAAAAAAAGAAAAGGAUUGAAAAUUAACCACUUGAUCAUUGAUGAAGGAUUUUAUUAACCACCAAAUUUUUUCCAAAUGGAAAAAAUUGAAGACCACACCCCAAUUAGGGUAUACUAAGCAGUACACAUGCAUGCAUAUAUGACAGCAUAUAUGCAUGCCUCUGCAUCAUGUGGUUUGCUAACUUCAUUAGCUCAGGGGAGAGGUGGCGGUGGGGAUGGAGGUAGCGGUUGCUUUCUCGGCAUAUGUCGCGGUAUCUGUCGAGUCCCUCGCCUUGGUGGUGGUGGUGGAGGUAUCCGACUGGCCUUGUUUGAUACCACUUCAAAUUUACUCACGGAAAGGUCGGAAAACCCUUCAGCAGCCUUAACCAUGUAACUAGGGUACUUGGAUAGUAGUAAUCCAAAAACCAACAAGACAGUUAUCGAACUUGGAGCGGCAUCCAUUUUUGUCAUAAUACCUUCACGGCUUCGAUCACCACAAUAUGAUUAUAUGAGUUUGGCACAGAAUUUAUAGCCAAACGUUCUCUCAUCUUCUACGUAAAAUUCCACAACACCUACCACACAAUCUAACUACACUACAUUUUUUCUCGAUUGAGAUCCACUUGUAUCAGAAGCAACAAGAUAUAGCCGUAUAGGUCCAAAGUCAAGAGUCAAGACAGAAGACAAAGUCUACGUCCUCUUGUCCUUAACAAAUAAUUUUAAGCAAAAUAAUAUAGUCUAUGCAUGAACGAUGAUUAAUUGACCAGAUACGAAGAUAAUAUCAUGGUUCUGGUGAUGACUGAACCGGAGAAGGGGGCAGUGGAGGUGGUGGCCCUAGUGGUCGUGGCGGUGGUGAUUUGAGAUGAACUGGAGCACUGGGUUUCGGUGGUGGGGGUGGUGAUCUACUGGCAACCCUAUAAGACACCACUUUUAGCUUAUGGAUGGAAUGGCUGGAGAUACCUUCAGAUGCCUUGACAAUGUAACAAAGAGUGCGACAGUAGCAGUCCACAAAUCAACAAGAAACUUAAUUAUCAAACUCGAAUUGGCUUGCAUUUUUGUGGAUUAGAACCUUAAUAACAAUCUUAGUUUUGGAGGGGGAGCUAGCUAGGGGGAGGAACGAAUUGAUCGAUCUGAUAAUCUUAGUCUGUUUUUAUAACCAAUAUUAUUGAAGAUCGAUCAUCAUGGAAUCGGUGAGAGAGGGAUGAAGACUUUGACAAUGUCUAUCUUUUGCACCAAGUACCAUCUUCUUUGUAGAUUUUUGAUCAACUAAAGAAAUUGUUGCUAAUGCUUCUUAUUGUGUAUAGAAUCAAACGUUCUUUGUCUAUUGGUAUUCAUUCAAUGUAAACCGAAAGAGACGAAAGAGGUGUGGAUUGUAAAGACAUAAAUCAUUCAAUCUGAACACGAAAGAGCACAAUGGUUGUCGAUUAAUAACCUAGACAGAUUAAUUAUUCUCUUCUGAAUCAUAUCAAAGAAAAUUUCACAUAUAUUCAUCAAAUUUAAUAGUAUAUAUCUGAAAUCUUCAGACUUCAGCAUAAAAUUGAUAAUUUCUCGUUGAAUUCAUGAACUGUCUAAGAAGCUUAAAUGAGAAGUACAUCCGAUCAAGCAUAUCGAGAUGCAUUAUGGGGAUUUAUUUGGACCGUACAUAAGACAUCCUGAUCGAUCGAACCAGAGAUGAGAUAUGAUACUACAUAUAUCUAAUGUCGUAUAAAAACAUAAUCAUGUGGUGGCUACGCCGGUGGUGGCGUCUGUGGUGGUGGUGGAGAGGGGUGAACUGUAGGAUUGGGUUUCGGAGGCGGCGGUGGAGACCUGCGGCUGACCCUGUGGGAUUCCACUCUUAAUUUACUCAUGAAAUGGCCGGAAAAACCUUCAGACGCCGCUUCAACCUUGUUACUCGAGGACUGCGAUAGUAGUAGUAAUCCACAAAUCAACAAGAAGGAUAGCAAAGCUGGGUAACCCUUCAUCGUUCUGGUACGUAAAUAAGAUUCAGUAUGAGGAGCGAUGAUGAUCUUAUUGCUGUUCUUAUAGCCAAUAUAUAUUCGUUUGUCUUCUAUAUUUAACUUGACAAGUUGACCACUGAUUAAAAAUUUCUUAAUCGAAGUGUUCUACAGCUUUAUUGUAAUUAAUUAUAAAAGAUAUCAUAUUUGUUUGGUGCUAUGCAUAAAGUCCGGCUUUAAUUUGGAUCAACAACUUUCCUUUGGUUUAUAUAAUUCAGAGCAUCUCAUCGACAACUUGAUCAUGAUCAUUAAAUCGAAGGAUGAAUCAUAGGAUGAUCAAAUCCUUGUUUGGUUUAGUUUACAGAAUUAGAGCUUUUGGUUAAUUCCUCCUUUAUUUCCUUACAUUUAAUGAUUUAAAUGAUUUGAUAAAAAUUUAAUAACUUACUGAAAUAAAAGGUUCAUGGAAUAUUAGAGCUUUCAAUCUGUUCGCGACACAUCUAUAGGGAAGCAAAUGGUGUUGCAGAUAGAUUAGCACACCUUGCUAGUUUAGGAGUUCUUGAGGAUGAGUGGUUAGAGGAUCGGAGACUCCUGCUAUUAUUCAGGACGUUCUCUACGAAGAUUUUUGCAAUUUACAUAUUGUAGCUCGGGGUUCAGAUGUUAUGUCCCCCCGGAUGCAGAAUUUUAAUAUUAAUGUAAUAAAUAAAAAUGGGCGUGGGGCUGAGCCUCCCAGCUAGGCUGGGUUCCAAACCCUUUUAAAAAAAAAGAAGAAAAAAAAUAGGUUCAUGGAAUAUAUAAUUCUAUCUUUUUCUAUAGAAAAUAGAAAACGAAUUACGUACUAAUUCCCUUUUCUAAACCAAACAAGGAGAUAACCUCGACCGGCCUAAUGACCAACUUGUCUGCGUCCAUAUAUUUAUACUACAACUUUCUAUUGCAUGUAUAUGGUUAAAAGUCAAGAGAAAGACAAACUUUGUGCCAUUUAGUCUAAUUCGAUCUAUUCCUAGCUAUCACUAUUUUUAAUUUGGGUCGUCGAAGUGUCUGCAUGCACCCCAUGAACCUUCUUCGACGUUUUUCAUAUUACUGAAAUUAAACUACGAAGGAAAAAUCACUCAACAACUCCUUAAAGCUUUAAACAAAUGAAACAUAGACUUUCUUACACCUUCUAGUCAGGUCAGAUUAAUUGUCAACAUUUUUUUUUUCAUGUAAAUUGACAUACUAAUUCUCUUUUAUAGAUACAUCAAAACGAACACUCCAGCUGGACCACAAUUAAAAAUCCAGAUGAUCAUGAGCAGAAGAUCUAUGAAUCUAUAUAUGAUGUAUAAGUACGUCGCCGAUUAAUUAAGAACAUGCAUACGAAUAUGGCUGUAUGCGGCGGCCGAUGCGGUUGCUGUGGUGGACUGGUGGUGGAUAUGGUGGACACCUCUCACCGAUAAUGAACUGAAUAAUUAAGCCUAGGAUAUAUACUAGCUACGUUUGACAGGACUGUAUACAGUUAGCAAACUGGAUGCUAAUACAGAUCAGGCGUUUGAACUUAUUUGUUUUUAUAGCCCACAGUCGACAUAUAUAGUUCUUUCUUAUCUUCGAUACUAAUUAAACAAGUACUAUACAUAAUCUUUGAACAAACGAACAAAAAGGAUUGAAAAUUAACCACUUGAUCAUUGAUGAAGGAUUUUAUUACCACCAAAUUUUUCCAAAUGGAAAAAUUUGAAGAACACCCUAAUUAGGAGUAUACUAAUUAAGCAGUACACAUAUGCAUAUAUGGCAGCAUAUAUGCAUGCCUGCAUCAUGUGGUUUGCUAACUUCACUAGCUCAGGGGAGAGGUGGCGGUGGGGAUGGAGGUAUUGGUGGCCGUGGCGGUAGCUUAGGUACGUAUACAGGCCCUCGCCUUGGUGACGGUGGUGGAGGUAUCCGCUUGGCCUUGUUUGACACCACUUCAAAUCUACUUACAGAAAGGGCGGAAAACCCUACAGCAGCCUUAACCAUGUAACUAGGGUACUUGGAUAGUAGUAAUCCAAAAACCAACAAGACAAUAAUCGAACUUGGAGCGGUAUCCAUUUUUGUCAUAGUACCUUCACGGCUUCGAUCACCACAAUAUGAUUAUAUGAG
RNAcentral lists this long non-coding RNA (7075 nucleotides) under Fragaria vesca (wild strawberry). RNAcentral describes it as "long non-coding RNA (FVES_LNC002735)". Lineage: Eukaryota; Viridiplantae; Streptophyta; Magnoliopsida; Rosales; Rosaceae. The record is from RNAcentral.